CCUACGGGCGGCAGCAGUGGGGAAUAUUGGACAAUGGGGGGAACCCUGAUCCAGCCAUGCCGCGUGUGUGAAGAAGGCCCUCGGGUUGUAAAGCACUUUCAGUGAGGAAGAACGCCUGGUGGUUAAUACCCAUCAGGAAAGACAUCACUCACAGAAGAAGCACCGGCUAACUCCGUGCCAGCAGCCGCGGUAAUACGGAGGGUGCGAGCGUUAAUCGGAAUUACUGGGCGUAAAGCGCGCGUAGGUGGCUUGAUAAGCCGGUUGUGAAAGCCCCGGGCUCAACCUGGGAACGGCAUCCGGAACUGUCAAGCUAGAGGGCAGGAGAGGAAGGUAGAAUUCCCGGUGUAGCGGUGAAAUGCGUAGAGAUCGGGAGGAAUACCAGUGGCGAAGGCGGCCUUCUGGACUGACACUGACACUGAGGUGCGAAAGCGUGGGUAGCAAACAGGAUUAGAUACCCGGGUAGUC
Molecule: ribosomal RNA, 465 nt
Filed under: Vreelandella stevensii
Lineage: Bacteria; Pseudomonadati; Pseudomonadota; Gammaproteobacteria; Oceanospirillales; Halomonadaceae
Description: partial 16S ribosomal RNA
Rfam family: Bacterial small subunit ribosomal RNA
Source: RNAcentral